CGAAAGCCUGACGGAGCAACGCCGCGUGAGGGAGGAAGGCUCUUGGGUUGUAAACCUCUUUUGUUAGGGAAGAAGAAAGUGACGGUACCUAACGAAUCAGCAUCGGCUAACUCCGUGCCAGCAGCCGCGGUAAUACGGAGGAUGCAAGCGUUAUCCGGAAUUAUUGGGCGUAAAGCGUCCGCAGGUGGAAUUUCAAGUCGGCGGUCAAAGACCGAAGCUUAACUUCGGGAAGGCAGUGGAAACUGAAAAACUAGAGACCAGUAGGGGUAGCGGGAAUUCCCAGUGUAGCGGUGAAAUGCGUAGAGAUUGGGAAGAACAUCGGUGGCGAAAGCGCGCUACUGGGCUGGGACUGACACUGAGGGACGAAAGCUAGGGGAGCGAAAGGGAUUAGAUACCCCUGUAGUCCUAGCCGUAAACGAUGGAGACUAGGCGUAGCUUGUAUCGACCCAAGCUGUGCCGAAGCUAACGCGUUAAGUCUCCCGCCUGGGGAGUACGCACGCAAGUGUGAAACUCAAAGGAAUUGACGGGGGCCCGCACAAGCGGUGGAGUAUGUGGUUUAAUUCGAUGCAACGCGAAGAACCUUACCAGGGCUUGACAUCUGUAGAACCCCGAUGAAAGUUGGGGGUGCCUUAGGGAGCUACAAGACAGGUGGUGCAUGGCUGUCGUCAGCUCGUGUCGUGAGAUGUUGGGUUAAGUCCCGCAACGAGCGCAACCCUCGUCCUUAGUUGCCAGCAUUGAGUUGGGCACUCUAGGGAGACUGCCGGUGACAAACCGGAGGAAGGUGGGGAUGACGUCAAGUCAGCAUGCCCCUUACGCCCUGGGCGACACACGUACUACAAUGGUCGGGACAAAGGGCAGCGAACCCGCGAGGGAAAGCGAAUCUCAGCAAACCCGGCCUCAGUUCAGAUUGCUCUGUGCAACUCGAGAGCAUGAAGGAGGAAUCGCUAGUAAUCGCCGGUCAGCAUACGGCGGUGAAUUCGUUCCCGGGCCUUGUACACACCGCCCGUCACACCAUGGAAGCUGGCCACACCCGAAGUCGUUACCCUAACCCUUUAUGGGAGGGGGAUGCCGAAGGCAGGGCUAGUGACUGGGGUGAAGUCGUAACAAGGUAGCCGUACCGGAAGGUGUGGCUGGAUCACCUCCUU
Molecule: ribosomal RNA, 1145 nt
Filed under: Gloeothece aurea
Lineage: Bacteria; Bacillati; Cyanobacteriota; Cyanophyceae; Chroococcales; Aphanothecaceae
Description: 16S ribosomal RNA
Rfam family: Bacterial small subunit ribosomal RNA
Source: RNAcentral